RNAcentral lists this ribosomal RNA (579 nucleotides) under Exserohilum turcicum. Its description in RNAcentral is "eukaryotic LSU rRNA". The stretch from base 194 to 347 matches the Rfam family "5.8S ribosomal RNA". The record is from RNAcentral. Lineage: Eukaryota; Fungi; Ascomycota; Dothideomycetes; Pleosporales; Pleosporaceae.
GCGGAGGGAUCAUUACACAACAAAAAUAUGAGGGUGUGGUUUGCUGGCAACAGCGUCCGCCCCAAGUAUUUUUCACCCAUGUCUUUUGCGCACUUUUUGUUUCCUGGGCGAGUUCGCUCGCCACCAGGACCCAACCAUAAACCUUUUUUUAUGCAGUUGCAAUCAGCGUCAGUAUAAUAAUUCAAUUUAUUAAAACUUUCAACAACGGAUCUCUUGGUUCUGGCAUCGAUGAAGAACGCAGCGAAAUGCGAUACGUAGUGUGAAUUGCAGAAUUCAGUGAAUCAUCGAAUCUUUGAACGCACAUUGCGCCCUUUGGUAUUCCAAAGGGCAUGCCUGUUCGAGCGUCAUUUGUACCCUCAAGCUUUGCUUGGUGUUGGGCGUCUUUUUGUCUCUCCCCUUGUUGGGGGAGACUCGCCUUAAAACGAUUGGCAGCCGACCUACUGGUUUUCGGAGCGCAGCACAAAUUUGCGCCUUCCAAUCCACGGGGCGGCAUCCAGCAAGCCUUUGUUUUCUAUAACAAAUCCACAUUUUGACCUCGGAUCAGGUAGGGAUACCCGCUGAACUUAAGCAUAUCAAUAA